This is a long non-coding RNA of Mauremys reevesii (Reeves's turtle), 803 nucleotides long. RefSeq lists it as uncharacterized. NCBI's taxonomy places the organism in Eukaryota, Metazoa, Chordata, Testudines, Geoemydidae. The record is from RefSeq and is a predicted model, not a curated record. The transcript has 6 exons.
AGUGAAUGUUGUGGAAUCGGAACAUAGCUGAUGAUGCUGUUGAUACGUGAUCUGAAAAAGAAUCCAGCUGCCGCUCCUGUGACAAUAUGGACUCUUCAGGGAAAACAGGCAUGAAACCGUAAGGGACCAAGCACAGGAGCAGGUCAUGGCACCAUGUGUUGUUAUACCCUUGCGGAUCACAAGGGAAGUGGCAUGACAUAGGCAGGAGAUGUGGCCACAUUCAAAUUAUUUCUCAGCAGUUUCCUUGGAAUUGCAUUGUGUAUCAUGGCUUAACAUAAUCGGAUGGGAAGCGUUUUCACUUAAUAUCUGAACAAGUAACACUGCAAAGACAAGAGGAUUUUAAUCAUCAAUAACCACGGUGCUUCCAGAUCUUUUCCAUCAGCUAGAGCAGUGUCUCAAGGAGGAGCCAUCGAAGCCAGUACAAACUAGGAAUGGGUCUGACCUGCAAGAUUCACCAUGGUCAUUCCCCAACAGGCCAGUCUUCAAUUGCUCUUCUCUGGGUGACCUGCAAGAUUCUGAGCCUCCACCAGCCUGGGAAGCAGAAUCCUUCGCCUGAGUUUGUUUCUGGUUCUCCCCCUGAGCACAACAGAGCACAAUUUAUUUCCAUGGAACGUCAUUGGUUCAACAGCAUCGCAGAGGUUUCAUAGCCAAUCGCACAUGGCAUGCACCGAGAUGCAGACCGCAGAGAAAAGAUCAUGAAGUGAUCUUGCCGGGAGAAUAAAUCUCAUUUUCUUUUAUGGACUUGAGACUGCUGUCCUUUGAGUUGGGUUUGAAUGUACUUCGGAAGUUUUAUUGAUUUAAAU